ACAUUCGCGGGCCAGCUUCUGUCCUGCCAGGUCCGGGUCGGCGGCUGCACGGCGGAUGAGACCGGUGCGACUCAUGAAGGUGUUCGUCACCCGCAGGAUACCCGCCGAGGCUGUGAGGUGGAGCAGUGGGACUCGGAUGAGCCCAUCCCCGCCAAGGAGCUAGAGCGAGGUGUGGCGGGGGCCCACGGCCUGCUCUGCCUCCUCUCCGACUGCGUGGACAAGAGGAUCCUGGAUGCCGCAGGGGCCAAUCUCAAAGUCAUCAGCACCAUGUCUGCGGGCUUCGACCACUUGGCUUUGGAUGAAAUCAAGAAGCGUGGGAUCCGAGUUGGCUACACCCCAGAUGUCCUGACAGAUACCACCGCCGAACUCGCAGUCUCCCUGCUACUUACCACCUGCCGUCGGUUGCCAGAGGCCAUCGAGGAAGUGAAGAAUGGUGGCUGGACCUCGUGGAAGCCCCUCUGGCUGUGUGGCUAUGGACUCACGCAGAGCACUGUCGGCAUCAUCGGGCUGGGGCGCAUAGGCCAGGCCAUUGCUCGGCGUCUGAAACCAUUUGGUGUCCAGAGAUUUCUGUACACAGGGCGCCAGCCCAGGCCUGAGGAAGCAGCGGAAUUCCAGGCAGAGUUUGUGUCUACCCCUGAGCUGGCUGCCCAGUCUGAUUUCAUCGUCGUGGCCUGCUCCUUAACGCCUGCAACUGAGGGACUCUGCAACAAGGACUUCUUCCAGAAGAUGAAGGAAACAGCUGUGUUCAUCAACAUCAGCAGGGGUGACGUCGUAAACCAGGACGACCUGUACCAGGCCUUGGCCAGUGGUAAGAUUGCAGCUGCUGGACUGGAUGUGACGAGCCCAGAACCACUGCCUACAAACCACCCUCUCCUGACCCUGAAGAACUGUGUGAUCCUGCCCCACAUUGGCAGUGCCACCCACAGAACCCGCAACACCAUGUCCUUAUUGGCAGCUAACAACUUGCUGGCUGGCCUGAGAGGGGAGCCGAUGCCUAGUGAACUCAAGCUGUAGCCAAACAGUAGAGAUGGAGGGCCAGGAAGCAAACCGUGCCCUGGUAUUGUCAGACGCACCCAGGCU
RNAcentral lists this small RNA (1080 nucleotides) under Pongo abelii (Sumatran orangutan). RNAcentral describes it as "processed transcript". The record is from RNAcentral. Lineage: Eukaryota; Metazoa; Chordata; Mammalia; Primates; Hominidae.